AAUACAUGCAAGUCGAGCGGACAGAUGGGAGCUUGCUCCCUGAUGUUAGCGGCGGACGGGUGAGUAACACGUGGGUAACCUGCCUGUAAGACUGGGAUAACUCCGGGAAACCGGGGCUAAUACCGGAUGCUUGAUUGAACCGCAUGGUUCAAUUAUAAAAGGUGGCUUUUAGCUACCACUUACAGAUGGACCCGCGGCGCAUUAGCUAGUUGGUGAGGUAACGGCUCACCAAGGCAACGAUGCGUAGCCGACCUGAGAGGGUGAUCGGCCACACUGGGACUGAGACACGGCCCAAACUCCUACGGGAGGCAGCAGUAGGGAAUCUUCCGCAAUGGACGAAAGUCUGACGGAGCAACGCCGCGUGAGUGAUGAAGGUUUUCGGAUCGUAAAACUCUGUUGUUAGGGAAGAACAAGUACCGUUCGAAUAGGGCGGUACCUUGACGGUACCUAACCAGAAAGCCACGGCUAACUACGUGCCAGCAGCCGCGGUAAUACGUAGGUGGCAAGCGUUGUCCGGAAUUAUUGGGCGUAAAGCGCGCGCAGGCGGUUUCUUAAGUCUGAUGUGAAAGCCCCCGGCUCAACCGGGGAGGGUCAUUGGAAACUGGGGAACUUGAGUGCAGAAGAGGAGAGUGGAAUUCCACGUGUAGCGGUGAAAUGCGUAGAGAUGUGGAGGAACACCAGUGGCGAAGGCGACUCUCUGGUCUGUAACUGACGCUGAGGCGCGAAAGCGUGGGGAGCGAACAGGAUUAGAUACCCUGGUAGUCCACGCCGUAAACGAUGAGUGCUAAGUGUUAGAGGGUUUCCGCCCUUUAGUGCUGCAGCAAACGCAUUAAGCACUCCGCCUGGGGAGUACGGUCGCAAGACUGAAACUCAAAGGAAUUGACGGGGGCCCGCACAAGCGGUGGAGCAUGUGGGUUAAUUCGAAGCAACGCGAAGACCCUUACCAGGUCUUGACAUCCUCUGACAACCCUAGAGAUAGGGUUCCCCUUCGGGGGGCAGAGUGACAGGUGGUGCAUG
RNAcentral lists this ribosomal RNA (1017 nucleotides) under Bacillus licheniformis. RNAcentral's name for it is "bacterial SSU rRNA". It matches the Rfam family "Bacterial small subunit ribosomal RNA", at positions 50 to 1047 of the family's 1533-position model. Lineage: Bacteria; Bacillati; Bacillota; Bacilli; Caryophanales; Bacillaceae. The record is from RNAcentral.